This 427-nucleotide ribosomal RNA is filed under the name uncultured bacterium. RNAcentral's name for it is "bacterial SSU rRNA". It matches the Rfam family "Bacterial small subunit ribosomal RNA", at positions 355 to 774 of the family's 1533-position model. The record is from RNAcentral.
UGGGGAAUAUUGGACAAUGGGCGCAAGCCUGAUCCAGCCAUUCCGCGUGCAUGACGAAGGCCUUCGGGUUGUAAACUGCUUUCGUACGGGACGAAAAGCCCUUCUCUAAUACAGAUGGGGCAUGACGGUACCGUAAGAAUAAGCACCGGCUAACUACGUGCCAGCAGCCGCGGUAAUACAGAGGGUGCAAGCGUUAAUCGGAAUUACUGGGCGUAAAGCGUGCGCAGGCGGUGAUGUAAGACAGAUGUGAAAUCCCUGGGCUCAACCUGGGAACUGCGUUUGUGACUGCAUCACUAGAGUACGGGAGAGGGAGGUGGAAUUCCCGGUGUAGCAGUGAAAUUCGUAGAUGUGCGGAGGAACACCGAUGGCGAAGGCAGCUCCCUGGCCCUGCACUGACGCUCAUGAAAGAAGGCGUGGGGAGCAAACA